CGCGGGAUGGAGCAGUUGGCAGCUCGUCGGGCUCAUAACCCGGAGGUCGUAGGUUCAAGUCCUACUCCCGCAA
Molecule: transfer RNA, 73 nt
Filed under: Aerococcus urinaeequi
Lineage: Bacteria; Bacillati; Bacillota; Bacilli; Lactobacillales; Aerococcaceae
Also listed under: 1 other name
Description: tRNA-Met
Rfam family: tRNA
About the family: Transfer RNA (tRNA) molecules are approximately 80 nucleotides in length. Their secondary structure includes four short double-helical elements and three loops (D, anti-codon, and T loops).
Source: RNAcentral